UUCCGAUACACAUUUCCAAAUCAACUGAGAGAAGUCGCAUCUGUCCUAUCGCAAACACCUACAAUGUCAUGAUCACAUUGAUUUACCUCAGUCGAAGGAGCGGAGCUUACUUUCUAUUCUAUUAGUCAAGCGCACUCACUCUAACGACGUUCCUUUUGCAUAGGUUGCUUGUUAUGGCAUGUUAAACUUUUAAGACCAGCGUCGCAUCAGGCUUGCUUGUCCUUUCAAGCGAAUGCUUUAUUCUUCUGAAGG
RNAcentral lists this long non-coding RNA (252 nucleotides) under Panax ginseng (ginseng). RNAcentral describes it as "long non-coding RNA (PGIN_LNC017342)". The record is from RNAcentral. Lineage: Eukaryota; Viridiplantae; Streptophyta; Magnoliopsida; Apiales; Araliaceae.